This 350-nucleotide long non-coding RNA is filed under the name Androctonus crassicauda. The record is from RNAcentral. Lineage: Eukaryota; Metazoa; Arthropoda; Arachnida; Scorpiones; Buthidae.
CUGGGGUCGAUGAGGGGACCUUCAAGAUUUCUUCUGGAUCCUAAUUCCAAGUCUGGAUGACUGAUAGCUUCGAUGAUUGCCCCUGCAAAGGGGUAUGAACUGGUCAGGCUUGCUGAUAAGGAUCAGGAUUCUGGAAGUGCCGCUGGACCUUCUGGUGCUUUCAUGGUGGGCAUGGAAGUCUGCUCAUCUUAGGCACCCGAUGGGUCUGAAGGUGAUCCAAAUCAACCUCCAGUACUCCCAAGUUGCUUCCACCCUUUUGGGUCUGCUGCUUGUGGGGAGCUGUUAUCACCUCACUCUUAUUCAAGAGCCAUGGCACUAUAAGGACCAAAUACAAGGACUUUAAAGAAGGU